This 199-nucleotide long non-coding RNA is filed under the name Gossypium barbadense (sea-island cotton). RNAcentral describes it as "long non-coding RNA (GBAR_LNC000346)". The record is from RNAcentral. Lineage: Eukaryota; Viridiplantae; Streptophyta; Magnoliopsida; Malvales; Malvaceae.
GCAUGGCUAUCCAAAUAUAUACAACACCAAAGUACUUGACUAAUAACACAAGGGCAGUCCUAUACAUGCCAUUAGCAGAGUUCAACUAAAAGAGUACCAAAAGGGCUUUGAUAGUGUGGACGACUUCGACUUUGACAAUCCCGAGUCCGAUAGCUGACGAACCAAAAUCUAUAAAACAGAGAAUCAAAGAAACAGAAUA